CUCUCGGGUGACGAGUGGCGGACGGGUGAGUAAUGUCUGGGAAACUGCCUGAUGGAGGGGGAUAACUACUGGAAACGGUAGCUAAUACCGCAUAACGUCGCAAGACCAAAGAGGGGGACCUUCGGGCCUCUUGCCAUCAGAUGUGCCCAGAUGGGAUUAGCUAGUAGGUGGGGUAACGGCUCACCUAGGCGACGAUCCCUAGCUGGUCUGAGAGGAUGACCAGCCACACUGGAACUGAGACACGGUCCAGACUCCUACGGGAGGCAGCAGUGGGGAAUAUUGCACAAUGGGCGCAAGCCUGAUGCAGCCAUGCCGCGUGUAUGAAGAAGGCCUUCGGGUUGUAAAGUACUUUCAGCGGGGAGGAAGGUGUUGCGGUUAAUAACCGCAGCAAUUGACGUUACCCGCAGAAGAAGCACCGGCUAACUCCGUGCCAGCAGCCGCGGUAAUACGGAGGGUGCAAGCGUUAAUCGGAAUUACUGGGCGUAAAGCGCACGCAGGCGGUCUGUCAAGUCGGAUGUGAAUCCCCGGGCUCAACCUGGGAACUGCAUUCGAAACUGGCAGGCUAGAGUCUUGUAGAGGGGGGUAGAAUUCCAGGUGUAGCGGUGAAAUGCGUAGAGAUCUGGAGGAAUACCGGUGGCGAAGGCGG
Molecule: ribosomal RNA, 646 nt
Filed under: uncultured Enterobacterales bacterium
Lineage: Bacteria; Pseudomonadati; Pseudomonadota; Gammaproteobacteria; Enterobacterales
Description: bacterial SSU rRNA
Rfam family: Bacterial small subunit ribosomal RNA
Source: RNAcentral